RNAcentral lists this ribosomal RNA (339 nucleotides) under Bacilli bacterium. Its description in RNAcentral is "bacterial SSU rRNA". It matches the Rfam family "Bacterial small subunit ribosomal RNA", at positions 1 to 314 of the family's 1533-position model. Lineage: Bacteria; Bacillati; Bacillota; Bacilli. The record is from RNAcentral.
UUUUUGGAGAGUUUGAUCUUGGCUCAGGACGAACGCUGGCGGCGUGCCUAAUACAUGCAAGUCGAGCGCGGGAAUCUCUUCUGAUCCCUUCGGGGUGAAGAGAGUGGAACGAGCGGCGGACGGGUGAGUAACACGUGGGCAACCUACCUAUAAGACUGGGAUAACUCGCGGAAACGUGAGCUAAUACCGGAUAAUACUUUUUAUUGCAUAAUAAGAAGUUUGAAAGGCGGCGUAAGCUGUCACUUAUAGAUGGGCCCGCGGCGCAUUAGCUAGUUGGUGAGGUAAAGGCUCACCAAGGCAACGAUGCGUAGCCGACCUGAGAGGGUGAUCGGCCACACU